RNAcentral lists this long non-coding RNA (1463 nucleotides) under Malus domestica (apple). RNAcentral's name for it is "long non-coding RNA (MDOM_LNC014967)". Lineage: Eukaryota; Viridiplantae; Streptophyta; Magnoliopsida; Rosales; Rosaceae. The record is from RNAcentral.
UGGAAGAUCUUCUAAUUGACAAUCAUAUUGUUUUUAGAAGUAUAUAUCCUAUAUAUAUGGGUAAUUGAUAAUAUCCAACGAACUAAAUCUUAUUCAAGUUCGUUCUUCUCCUAAUGGAGAAAUCCAUUAUCUUAUGAUGCUUCUUUCCUUGAUAUCUUUCAAGAAAAUUAUUCUAAAGUGUUACCAUUCCUUGGAUCAAAUCUGAGGAUGUAAAUACUUUAGACGUCUUACUCAUCAACUUACAUUUCUUGAAUUCUUUGAAACAUUUUGCAAAGUAUUCGGACUUGUGUUUAUUCAAAAAUAAACUAUAGUCCAACCGAGAGUGAUCUUCGGUGAAUGUUAUCCAACAUGAGUAGUAUUAUGUUUGUGGACAAGUGCCACUAACAUCUAAGUGAAUUAACCUCAACAACUUUGUGAUUCUUUCUUCUUUCCAAAAGAAUAAAGAUUCGAACAUUUCGCCUCUAUACAAUUUUAACAAGAAGGUAUUGGAUCCGGAUCUAAUGAUCCAAAGCGUCCAUCUAUGACCAACUCGUAAUUUAUGUUUUAGAGAUAUCACAACUUUAGUUGGGAUUAGUCACUACUUUGCAACCUUUUGGGUUUUUAAGCAUCAUUAUAUUCUAAACAGUUAACACUACCAUAUCAUCUCUACUAUAGAGAUAAUUAAUUAGAUUACAAUAAUCUAAUCAUUGAUUAAUAAAGAACAAUGUUUUGUCAAACAAAACAUUCAUCCAUCUCUACUAUAGUGACGGAAUUAAAUUCCUUAAAAUUGGAAUGUAAAGACAAUCUUUGGUUUUUCCAAUUUCUUUGGUAAUUCAUAUGAGGAAGUAAGUACCAUCUGCUUUCGCAGAAAUCUAUAUUUUAUUCACUUUCCGAAUGUGAAGUACUUUCUCUUCUCUCAUAUAUCUUCUACUUCUUAUUAGCCAUACUUUUACAACGAUUGUAAAACUUAGUUACUAAUACGGAAUCAAGCAUUCAAGUAGAAGAACCAACUGUUUUGAACUAUUCAAGAACAAUUUACAACGCCUUCAAAAGGUGUGUUCUUGACACUUGCAAGACAUUUCUUGCAAAUACCCCUUCCAAUGUCCAUCCUUUCAUAAAGAAAGUUUGUUCCCUUGGAGUUAUUUUGCUUUCUUCAUUUGACUUCUCCUUUGACUACCAUAGUCAAGGUCCCUAAACUCCCACUAUCUCUCUUGAAACUUAUUUCAAUUGUGUCAUACACAUCAAACAUUUUGGAGAGCAUGUGGUUAUUGUACACUACAUAGUUUACAAUAAACUUAGUGAACGAUUAGGAUAGGGACACAAAGGUGAAGUCCUUGCCUAGUUCCCGUCUCUAGAAGUGUUUUAAUACUUCAACACUCAAUGAUUCAAAAUCAUCAUAAGUCCAUGUUGAUGGACUAUUUUUGUCAACCAACCAUUAUGUUCUAAACAUAAUUACAAACUUUCAAGAGUUGUUCAAAGCAACU